CAACCAAAGAUCAAUGGAUGGUGCAAGGGAUUCAGAGAUAGCAAUGGGAGGUUACCAGCCAUAUCAUUUAUCAACUAGAGAGCCAGCACGAGGCCAAAUCCAUGGCUUCCGUUUGGCAUUAUGGUAUGAACAUUUAGGAUUGCUUCAUCAAUCCUUCCUGUUCCCAGAAAGUGUUGAAUGUGUUAAAAGAGUAAACCAACUUGCUGAAAAAUAUUGGGAUUUAUACUCAAGUGAGAGCUUUGAACAUGACCUUCCUGGCCACUUGCUUCGCU
This 272-nucleotide unclassified non-coding RNA is filed under the name Hevea brasiliensis (rubber tree). The record is from RNAcentral. Lineage: Eukaryota; Viridiplantae; Streptophyta; Magnoliopsida; Malpighiales; Euphorbiaceae.